GGCGGCUGUUUUUAGGGGCCGGUCGCGUUGUGGAGCGGUCCGUAUUCUGUGCCUUCUUACAGCGGAUCCCGGGCAACGAGGCAGCUGACACCCUGGCGAAGGACGCCCACCACACCACUGUGUCCCUCAGCCGGGCCGUGACGGAGGGCGACUUCACAGGACUGAGGCUGCGGCGACACCUGGCGACCUACCACCCUGACAAAAGGGUGUCACUGGGAUGACCCCACGCCCACUCCCCCAGCGAGGCCUGGCUCGCAGGGAGACCUCGCUCCUACUUCGGCUUCGCAUCGGCUGCAGCUGGACGGCAGCUCGCAGCCACCGACUAGGACGAGCGACGUCCCCGGCCUGCACUUCCUGCGGGGAGCCGGAGACCAUCGAGCAUAUCCUGUUAGCCUGCCCGGCGUACCUCCAGCAGCGGGUCCCACUCCUGCAGGAGUUCCGCCACCUGGGCCUCCCCUCAAGCAAGGAGGAAGGCCUUCUCUUCCCCGGCCGACACCACCUUCCUGCACUUCGAGGCGACGUGGAGUACCUUGACUCGUCAGGGCUCUCCGCACGCCUCCAAGACAUGAUUUCUGCAAGCGGGACGGCCUCGUGGCCUCCCAACCCGUCCCGGGCCUGACAGGCUCGGAACUACACCCCUGCAGUCUUGGCAGCACUCCAAGGCCUUCCAUCUCGACCUGAUACGUGCUGCCACAGCCUGCCGGUUGGCUACGCCCAGCCAUGGUGACUCCACCCUAUCCCCCUUUCUCUCCCACUUACCCCUCCCUGUUGGCGCUGAGCCGUGCUCUCUCAAGGGCUGCAGAAGAUAGCGUCAACCUUUCCCUUUCCUCACGAACCACUUACUACCUUUUGUGUGCUGCGACCCGGUCGCAGCAGUGGCGACCUGCAGUGCGGAUCGGCGGUCGUCGCUGUGUGGCUAUUCAGAACUAAAAUGCAAUAGUCGCGUUUAAUGAAUAGUCAAUUUCACUGUGCCCCUAACUAUCAACCAAGCCCUGUCCGCUGGUUCUUGGACCCUUGGAUAUCCGUCCGGAUGGCAUUCUCAAGGAAGCGUACUACUUUGAAACCGAAACCUUCGCUGAACAUCUUUCUGUAGCGACUUCGCUUCGAAUCUGAGCUAAGGACCCUAUAAACAAUUGCUUAUACGCUCUCCAAUUUUCGACUGAAGCCUCUAAAACAACGUUGCAGUGCAUUAUAAUCCCACUCGUUCGUUGCAUUCUCAAGAAAACGCGUCUCAUGUGAAAAGGCAUUGCGGCAAGUCAAAGGUCCGCGGUAGUAGUGCUAUUCGUUGAAGCGGAUUUCAUGCACGCAACUUAUGAUGUGGUUGCUCCGUUAGGAAAUUGUACGAGUCAGGUCGCACAUGCACGUCCCGUGAAAACGAAGGGCAAACGUGAUGUGCGAGUUGACGGUCGUAAUUAACUUGUUCCGUGGGCUGUUUUCUGCCGUUCUCCGCUGCAAGUGUCGAAUUUUCGCAGGAUUGGACGUUGCGCAUGUUCUCUCUGACGACUCGUGUUCCGCACUGCCUUUUGCUGCAGGCGUUCGUGCGUGGAUUGCGGACUUAGCUAUUUACAGGCACCCCGGUUUCAAGCACAUCAUGAGCAAGCGAUAACUUGAGCAGCCCUGCACGGUUGGGUGCACUAAUAGCGCGGUGCCGAAAACGCAAGAAACACACGGUAAUUAAAUUCCACAUGCCAUUACACAGCGUGCUGCGUGGUGAAGUUUGAGGACAGAGCGUGCGGGCCUUCUCAAUGUCGUUGAGGAACUGCUGCGAAAAUGUGUACGGCGAUGUGCCCCUCCAUCAUACCAGCUCUUCCACUUUUUCUCGUAUAGGGAAACUUGCUUUGAUGGACUUAUCUGAGCUGUCUAGACUUUUAAGUCAAUAAAUAGUGUAAUAAAUGCUCCAUCUGCAUGCUUAUGCUAACGUGUCAACGCGCUUUUUUAAUUUUCCGUGCGAUUAAAAAUCGAAAUUUCGCGAUUAUCUCGCUGUUUUCUCAGAAGCUUUCUUGAUUGUUUCUUUGUCUGGAAAAUAUUUAGAGCAAAAUGUGCCCUGCAACAACCCGUGCGGUGUUUUUCAUUCCUUUUGCAAUAUUAUUUUAUCUGCUAAAUUCCUUAAAACGUUAAAAAAUCAAAGUGCACUGAAUAGAAAAUAGCAGUGCCUUCAGAUAAAAAUCUAACAAAAAUAGUUGCACUCGUAGGCUAAACAGGCAUUUGCGUUUUGAAACAAUUAUUCGUACAGGAACAAGAUUUGCUCUUAAGCACUGAUGUAAAGGAAACGUGGUGAAAAAAAAAUUAAGGGGUGGUGGAAACGCGUCACAGUAAACAAAUAAGGGGGAACAAAAUGGAAAGCAUUGUCUAUGUUGGCCGAUGCUUCACACACAUAUUUUAUUUGCCGAAUUUUUGUCUCUUGUUGAAGAAAGCAAGCCUAGCUUGUUACCGGCAUUGCCACAAACCACUUGUUUCGUUUGUAGUAGCGAAUAGCAGUGGGACAACAUCAUAGAACUUGGAUGAAAGCAGCAGCUAUGCAUUUAGCUAUGUUGUCGAACAAGCAAUUUCGUUUUGCCGUGCCCUAAACAAAAAGUUAAGAUGAUGUGUUGUUGCAAGUCGAUAGAUUGAAUAUCCCCGAGCGAGAGGAGAAGUAUGCAUGAUAGGCUUAUUGCUAGGCCAGUAGGUGAGGAAGUGUGGUGAAAGUGUAGCGCUAAAACACAUAGUUUCCGUGUUUCUUCUGGGCACGAUGUGCUUUCUUGCUACAUAUUUAGUAUGCAUGAGGCCACCCACAAGAACCUGUUCUUAGCACUUUUUAUGAGUUGCAGCAAAGCGGAAAUGGGCAUAAACGUCUGGCGUGCUCCUAAGACGCGCCCAACAGCAGAUGCCAUUCCCGAUGCUUUGCAUCAUGUGAUAUGUAGCAUAUACGAGUAUUACCCCAUGAAAAUCUCCAUGCCAUUGCAAAGUAGGUUCAUUUGUAUCAGUGGCACCCAAACGCAGGGUUCGUACAGCUGCUUGGAAAUCCUUGCAUUUUGAAAACAUUUCAAGCGCCCUUAGGACCUUAAAAUAAGUGCGCUGCUUGAUUUCCUUGAAAAUUAGGGUUGGAAGCGACUUCAGAACAAGUAAAAUAAAUGCCACACUGUGCUAUGCCGUUUCUAUUGGGGAAAAACAAUCGUCCAUAAUCUCACGUGAGAGUUUUGCUAAGCAAUUGCUGUCUAGCACAUCUGCAGUAACUGGCAACAGGCUUGUUUAAAUCAUCGCCAUCAUGGUGCUAGACGAAGGCAGAUUAAGUGACAAUGUUGUACCAGUAUUUUUGUUGUUUCGCUAGUUGGUUUACGUUGCAGCCAUCAUGGCUUCAUUAUUGAGGUCUGAGCUGUACAAAUGCCCGAAGGAAAGUAGGUUUCAGCAAUUUGGCUUUAACAACACAAGCAUACUUUGGUGAAGCCGGACACUACUAACUCACAUUAAGUGAAGUGUCUGAUGUGUCACAAUGCGACUGACAUUGUUACAAUAGAAAAGUAGACUGAAAAGCCACCUAAAGGAUUUGAAACGUGCAUGCAAUUGAGUGGGUGCUUAGCUAUAAAGAAUUAUAACCAAGAAGGAGAUUUCAGUAUAUAUUAGUUUUAUUUAUGACAAAUUUGUUUUAAUCUCCUUAAAUUAAAGCCUUCAGCAACCUGGUAAUCGUUGAAUUGUUCUUGAAUUUUGCGUCGGACAUUCUGUACGAACCCUGCAAAGAUUGCUUUACAAUUUUCAUGUUUCUACCAUUUUCUCUGUUCUGGCACCUCUAUAUAAUGCCUAGCGUGUAAUUAAGUUUCAAUGACAGCUAGGGCUUCAUGUAUGCCUGCUGUUUGUCUGAUUCAUGUGCUCUUCUAUGUUCGCCUAUAACAUAACGAAGCAUGACCAUUAGUACUCUUCUAUGGCUACCACGAUUUUGAUGUGCGACUGAGCUGUUAUGUAUAGAAGCCAUUCGAAUAUAAGUGAAACAUUUAAAUUAUUUAUCUGUUUUCACAUUACUUUGUUACAGAAUGGUCUUCCGCAAGGUGUGGCGGUGUCAGCACCACCACCGAAACAAAACGACUGCACAGCACACCACUGGCUGCCCAGCAAAGAUAGACAUUAAAAUUAAAAAAGUGAACCCCAACACUAAAAAAAUGAUGAGUAUUUGUGCAGAAGCACUCCCCUUCCAGCUGUGAUCCAAUUGGCCACAACACAUAAUCACAGCACAGUGUGCUGAUUCGCUAAAGCUACUGCGUGCCAGCCCAGAAACAAGGGCCACAUUCGAUGCAUAUUUCGAGCCUGUUUUCACGCUUGCAGCUGCCAUUCGGCACCACGAGGAGGCACUGGCACUGGAAGACAACAGCCACAUUUUGCUUGCCAACAGCAUGGUGAAUCCAACACAAAGGACUGUUUAUUACUGGCACCAAGAAUGGAGGCUAGCAAAGUAUGGUCCUCUAGCGAAUCCUCUACUGAAACUCCAAGAAAAGUUGGCAGACUAUGCAGCACAAGAUACUGCUUAAGAAUGCACAUGGACUUCGGAGGUCUUCAGAACACUGGGGUAAAGCCAGCACUUCUAAUGCAGCCAGUAUGCCUGUACGACCACUUGGUGCAAGCUUUCAUUUUUGUUUUACAGACACACUCAUUUCAAUAACUGUGUAAUAAAAGAUUCGGAAAUUACAUUUCUCGAGUAAGUACUCUACUAUCCUGAAAGAACUAUGUAAUUGCGGGGAAUUCUUGCCUAUUUGCACCCUUCGUAGCAUGAAGCAGUUGAUAGCAGUCUCCUCCCACUUUUGGAGAAUUCAAAACUUGCGCCAUACAGAGAAACAUAAUUCAAAAUUUGAGACAUGCACAAAUAUGUUCAUAUAU
Molecule: long non-coding RNA, 4842 nt
Organism: Dermacentor silvarum
Lineage: Eukaryota; Metazoa; Arthropoda; Arachnida; Ixodida; Ixodidae
Exons: 3
Source: RefSeq, a predicted model, not a curated record